This 253-nucleotide ribosomal RNA is filed under the name uncultured bacterium. Its description in RNAcentral is "partial 16S ribosomal RNA". It matches the Rfam family "Bacterial small subunit ribosomal RNA", at positions 524 to 776 of the family's 1533-position model. The record is from RNAcentral.
UACGGAGGGUGCAAGCGUUAUCCGGAUUCACUGGGUUUAAAGGGUGCGUAGGCGGGCAGGUAAGUCAGUGGUGAAAUCUGUGGGCUUAACCCACAAACUGCCGUUGAUACUAUCUGUCUUGAAUCCCGUGGAGGUGAGCGGAAUAUGUCAUGUAGCGGUGAAAUGCUUAGAUAUGACAUAGAACACCAAUUGCGAAGGCAGCUUGCUACGCGGGUAUUGACGCUGAGGCACGAAAGCGUGGGGAUCAAACAGG